Molecule: small nucleolar RNA, 123 nt
Organism: Balaenoptera acutorostrata (minke whale)
Lineage: Eukaryota; Metazoa; Chordata; Mammalia; Artiodactyla; Balaenopteridae
Product: small nucleolar RNA SNORA5
Exons: 1
Source: RefSeq, a predicted model, not a curated record
AGCAGUCAACCCUCAAGAUUAAAAAAUGUUUUACACCAGAUGACUGCCACAGCAAGUUCCACAGCUCAUGGGCCCCGGGUCCCCUGCCCUGGGACCUGGGGAUAAGUUUGGCUGCGGACAUGG